GGGUCGGUGUCCGAGUGGUUAAUGGAGGCGGACUGUAAAUCCGCUGGCUUUACGCCUUCGCAGGUUCGAAUCCUGCCCGGCCCA
This 84-nucleotide transfer RNA is filed under the name Cyanobacteria bacterium QS_8_64_29. Its description in RNAcentral is "tRNA-Tyr". It matches the Rfam family "tRNA". From Rfam's summary of the family: Transfer RNA (tRNA) molecules are approximately 80 nucleotides in length. Their secondary structure includes four short double-helical elements and three loops (D, anti-codon, and T loops). Further hydrogen bonds mediate the characteristic L-shaped molecular structure. tRNAs have two regions of fundamental functional importance: the anti-codon, which is responsible for specific mRNA codon recognition, and the 3' end, to which the tRNAs corresponding amino acid is attached (by aminoacyl-tRNA synthetases). tRNAs cope with the degeneracy of the genetic code in two manners: having more than one tRNA (with a specific anti-codon) for a particular amino acid; and 'wobble' base-pairing, i.e. permitting non-standard base-pairing at the 3rd anti-codon position. Lineage: Bacteria; Bacillati; Cyanobacteriota. The record is from RNAcentral.